This 45-nucleotide non-coding RNA is filed under the name Schistosoma mattheei. The record is from RNAcentral. Lineage: Eukaryota; Metazoa; Platyhelminthes; Trematoda; Strigeidida; Schistosomatidae.
ACCCAGCUGACGAGUCUCAGAUAGGACGAAGCGCGCGUCCCGGAU